GGUUGGAUGCAUUUGAUUCUGUAUAUUAUUGUCGUAGAAUUACGUAAUUUUUGUGGAGGAUUUUCCAGUGGACCUUUGUAACCCCUGGAAUUGGAGAUACUUGUACCUUUUCUCCAAGUUGAAAUGAACUUUGUUCAAUUUUUUAUUUAAAUUUGACGCAUUGGAACUUUGCAUAGUACCAAUUCUCUAGGGGAAGCACGCUAAUUUUGUAUCCAGCUAUUUCUAUCACUGUUGCAGUCUUCCGUUUUUGGUUUACUAACAAUGGGGACUAGAACUUGGGCCUUUGCCUAAGUUUGGUGGUGCACCUACCAUUAGGCUAAUGCAUUCUUCUUCUGCUUGUGAUGCAAUUAUAUUUUUGAAUCUGUUUGACAUCCUUUUUUGAUG
RNAcentral lists this unclassified non-coding RNA (384 nucleotides) under Hevea brasiliensis (rubber tree). Lineage: Eukaryota; Viridiplantae; Streptophyta; Magnoliopsida; Malpighiales; Euphorbiaceae. The record is from RNAcentral.